UUUCGCUCUCCUGCAUGUGCGGCCAUGUUCAAGGCAGAUGAGUGACCACAGGGCCACAGCUGAAACUCACUGAAGCGUAAUGUGGUGAAUGAGUAGACCAACCGUUGUCUUUGAAGAAUUUAUUAAUAAAAAGAGAAUGACAGAGAAGUACUACAUCGUUAAUCCGCUGGGCCAGAGGUUCUGAUCCCAGGACAUCCACUAACGCCUGGCCUCAGGCAAAAGGGAAGCAUAAUCAUUUACACAGUUUAGGUUUCUAUGUUUAGAAUAUAAUGUUUGUAUAUUUGGGGAACAGAGAUCCUUGAAUGCACAUUCAAGCAGAGUAGAGAAACAGCAAGACCCUAGUAAAUGUAGACAGACUAACAUAAGGCGUAUAGAAGAAGGAAAGGUUAAGGAUAAAAUAACACAAUAUAUCUAUAAGACAUAACAAUAAUAGUAAUAAUAAUAGUAAAAGAACAUGCAUAAAAGUUUAAAUGUAAGUGGAAAUAAUUAAACAACUAAGACUGUGAAUUUGUCCCCCAUCAUUUAUACUGGAAGUGCAUUAGGGAGUGAUCUCUUCACGGCCAGGAUGAACAAUUAAGCAAUAAAUAACAUUAUGGGCACCUGACUGUUGUUUUAGACAGACUUGAAAAAUUGCAAAUGUUUCGUUUAAGGACAGUUAAAGAUAGAUGGGGUGGUGAUGGGGCAGUGGAUAAGAUGCCUGCCUUUGGUGUGAGAGACCCGGGUUCAAUCUACCAACGUGUCCCUGAGCAAGACACUUAACCCCUAGUUGCUCCAGAGGCGUGCGACCUCUGACAUAAUUAGCAAUUGUAAGUUGCUUUGGAUAAAAGCGUCAGCUAAAUGAAUAAAUGUAAAGACAGCUAUAAAUCAACCUGGCCAUAUAAAGCAAUGCAAAAAUCAUAAACAUUGUGUGACAGGUCCUGAACUACUUUUAUUCACGGGAAUAUUUCUCAGCAUAUUAUAUUUUCACUUUCACAAAAUAAAUGUUAUUAGCCAAUAUUAGUGUGAACAGACUAUAAUGCUAAAUCUAUAAUGAGAACUACAUACUCUGUUGUGGUGGCAGCCCGGCUGACAGUGAGUGUCCUGUUUAUUUCUCCUUUUUUCCUACCAUUCUGUUUUCCCUGCCUCUCUGUGUCUCCUCCGCUCACCCUGCUUGUGUUCUCCCUCUCUCUCUCCACUCCUGAGUCCAGCUGACGAUCCACACCUGCACCUCAUCAGCAGCCUCCUCUGCCUGCCACACCUGCCAGCAAUCACUCCAUCUCUGCCAGUAAAUCAACCCCGGUUCUCCACACAAUCACCGCUUGAUCGUCGUUGCUCCUGACCUGGUUCACUCACCUCCGUCCCCCGUCGUGCCAGCUAGGCUCGCCUACCUGCCCUCUCCCCUCAGGUGUCUUCCACGGCGUCCUCUCUGCUCCCCCCUCGCUCCUCGCCAGUCUACCUGCCACCACACCCACCUUCUCCCAUCCCUAUGGUCAGUUCUCCCAGGCCUCCUCUCCUCCUCAGUCCUCUGUUCCCCUAGGCUCCCUCGCCUCUGCCCCACCUGCUCCUUGGUCCUCCGUGCCCGUGUUCCCGGGCGUCCAGCCAGGAAUAAAGCUUUAGAAAAUAGUGCUGAAAACAUUA
This is an RNA transcript of Micropterus dolomieu (smallmouth bass), 1617 nucleotides long. It is a transcript of the gene named splicing factor, proline- and glutamine-rich-like, with no coding region annotated. The transcript has 3 exons. Lineage: Eukaryota; Metazoa; Chordata; Actinopteri; Centrarchiformes; Centrarchidae. The record is from RefSeq and is a predicted model, not a curated record.